Non-coding RNA from Neolamprologus brichardi, 303 nucleotides. The record is from RefSeq and is a predicted model, not a curated record. NCBI's taxonomy places the organism in Eukaryota, Metazoa, Chordata, Actinopteri, Cichliformes, Cichlidae.
ACCGAAGACUCCCUUAUAAAUGUCACCAUAGCUACAAGGAACCUGUCCGUGACGGCCAAUGUGAGCAGCGAUUAUGGCAUUGGAGGAUUCAUGCCCUAUGGUUUCAGUGGGACCUUAGCAGGAGCUGCCACCUGCUUUUAUGCUUUUGUUGGCUUUGACUGCAUUGCAACAACAGGUGAGGAGGUCAAAAACCCUCAGAGGGCCAUUCCCACUGGCAUCGUGGUGUCACUGACCGUGUGCUUCUUGGCAUACUUUGGCGUGUCAGCUGCCCUCACGCUGAUGAUGCCCUACUACCUACUGGAC